UACGGAGGGGGCUAGCGUUGUUCGGAAUUACUGGGCGUAAAGCGCACGUAGGCGGCUUUGUAAGUUAGAGGUGAAAGCCCAGGGCUUAACCCUGGAAUUGCCUUUAAGACUGCAUCGCUCGAAUUGUGGAGAGGUGAGUGGAAAUUCCGAGUGUAGAGGUGAAAAUUCGUAGAUAUUCGGAAGAACACCAGUGGCGAAGGCGACUCACUGGACACAUAUUGACGCUGAGGUGCGAAAAGCGUGGGGAGCAAACAGG
This 256-nucleotide ribosomal RNA is filed under the name uncultured bacterium. RNAcentral's name for it is "partial 16S ribosomal RNA". It matches the Rfam family "Bacterial small subunit ribosomal RNA", at positions 524 to 776 of the family's 1533-position model. The record is from RNAcentral.